AUGACCGAUGCUUCAAGGAAUUACACGCGCGACACCGGGGAAGCAGUAGCAUGGAGCUUGUACAGGCUACAGCUGAUGCUCUGUUGGUGGCUGGAGGUGUCGCGCGGAGACACGGCAGUGAUGCUGGUGAAAGUUGGGAUGGAAGUGAUGGCGUGGUUCUAUCAGGGAAUCAAGCGACCCAAUUCAGAUUUAUUGACGCAAAUCAACGGCUGGCUAGGCGGCUUAUCUUUUUCUAAGAUCAGCCGGCUGACGCCUAGCAGCGGCCCAACAAUCAUUGUUUGUGUCAGUGUCAAGCUGACUAAGUAUGCAUGUGACUGCAAGAGGUGGGACAUGUCAACAGUAGCAUGCCACCAUGCAAUAGUUGCAAUACAAAAGAUAAAGCUACACCAUGAGGAUUUUGUGCAUCCUUUCUUCAAGAAGGGACUUUACAUUGCAGCCUACAAGCACGUCAUAUACCAUGUGCCAAGUCCUGAAUUUUGGCCAAACACACAAACAUGGGACACAUCACCACUUGUAUUCAGAGAAAAGAAAGGAAAAAAAACUACUAGGAAGAAGGGACGGUUUGAGAACCAUGUUCAUUGGAUCUUCAUCAACAACACCCGGAGCAAAUGGGUCUACAUCUGCCCCACCUUCAGCUUCUUCCGCACCUACACUUGCAGCAAGAGAUACAUGUCUGUGAUGAACUAUGUUUGGUCAGUGUUGCUGAACUAUGUUGGUAUAGUGCUGCUGAACUAUGGUGCCUCCGCGCCCUGGCCGGACACACCUCCUCUUCUUCCUCAUUAUAAAGAAGAUAAGAAGUGGGAUGGCGGGAAGUUGCCGACGGGGGCAGUAGCAGCAUCCUGGUUGAUUGCAAAGCACAUGGCACGCAACAACAUUGUGCUGCAGACGCCACCUGGUGCCUUCCCACCAAGAGGCAGCACCAACACAUUCUGCGUCCUCCGCGGCCGGAUUAAUACAAAGGAGUACCCGAAUGAUUUCGUCAAUGGCCGGGCAAGGAAACAGCAGGAUUCGCGUACUCACCAUGUCGUCUUAAGCAGGCUCGUCGGCCAAGGAACCGACUCCGGCGUUGCGCAUUUACGCACCCGGAAGCUUGGCUUCACCGGAAUCCACUAUUUAAAGGCGGUCACACCCCGACUAAACUCCAUACGGACACAUCCGCUCCACAUCCUCCUCCCUUGCACCACAUCCACCAUGAUCGCAAGUGGGAACGCUCUGUGGGAGAGCCUGUCGACGGGAUGA
RNAcentral lists this ribosomal RNA (1239 nucleotides) under Triticum aestivum (bread wheat). Its description in RNAcentral is "partial small subunit ribosomal RNA". Lineage: Eukaryota; Viridiplantae; Streptophyta; Magnoliopsida; Poales; Poaceae. The record is from RNAcentral.